UUUAUUGUGAGUUUUAUCUUGGCUCAGCUUUUACGCGCGCAAACAAUAUUACACAUGCUUGUUCAUCUUACACUUUUAAGUGUAUGGUUAGCGUGAUGGUGAGUAAUAAAUGUUUUUUACCUUACUGUUGCAUAGCGAUGGUUUGAGAAAGAUGUUUUAGAUUAGGUUGUUGGUAAGACUACCAGCCUACCAAGCCUAUGAUCUAUAGCUAACGACCAAAAAUCGAAAGCCACAGUGGCCAUUAAAUAAAAGCCAAAUUUUAAAAAAGCAGCAGUGCAGAAUAUUUGACAAUGGGCGACAGCCCGAUCGAGUUGUUUGCAUUUAGGCAUUUAUUGGAAAAAUAAAACAAAGAUCUAUAUAGAGUAAGUUUUUGUGACAGUUUAACAUUGACUGGAAUCCUAAAAGAUUGGAAUUACAUAAUACUGAAUUUUAUUCACUUUGUAAGUGCAGACUAAAGAAAGUGCCAGCGGUCGCGGUUACACUUUUUGCACAAGCGUAAAGCAUAUUGACUAGGUUUAAAAUGCAUGUAGGCGGUAACCCAAUGCGGUUUACUUUAAUCAUAACAAGAAAAAUAGAACGUUUAAUGUAUCAGUAAAAUGAAUUGAUAUUAAGCAGAAUGCCAACAACAGCGAAAGUGAUUUUUUAUAUAUGAAUUUAGGCUGAAUAUGCGAAAGCUUAAGUAUCGACACAGAUUAGAGACCUGUCUAGUUUAAGCUGUAAACUAUGCGUUUAACAUUGAGAAAUCAUCAAAUACGCUACCUGGAGAGUACGAGCGCAAGCUUAAAACUCAAAAGAUUAAACGGUUCUAGCGAACGGCGUUUGGAUCAUGCUAUUUAAUUCGAUAAUACACGAAAAACCUUACCACAAUUUUUGUAAGCAUGCAGAAGCACACAAUUUUGCAU
RNAcentral lists this ribosomal RNA (902 nucleotides) under Jenufa minuta. RNAcentral describes it as "small subunit ribosomal RNA". It matches the Rfam family "Bacterial small subunit ribosomal RNA", at positions 1 to 1013 of the family's 1533-position model. The record is from RNAcentral. Lineage: Eukaryota; Viridiplantae; Chlorophyta; Chlorophyceae.